CAUCCCCCUCCCAUAUCGUAUUUACAGAGCUCUCUCUAUUCCACCACCAAAAACCCCUCUCUCUCUCUGGAUCUCAGCGCUUGAACAAGCCGCGAUUUGAAUUAAGUGUCUACUCUUUAAGAUUUAAUCUUCAAAGAUGCCUCUCAGACUCAACAUUAAGAGGAAACUUGCUCAAAGAUCAGAACGGGUAAAAUCUGUAGAUCUCCAUCCAACAGAGCCAUGGUAAAUCUUAUCUGCAAGAAUAACUUUUACUUAGUUUCUCUUUUGUCCCAA
Molecule: non-coding RNA, 273 nt
Organism: Carica papaya (papaya)
Lineage: Eukaryota; Viridiplantae; Streptophyta; Magnoliopsida; Brassicales; Caricaceae
Source: RefSeq, a predicted model, not a curated record